Molecule: unclassified non-coding RNA, 250 nt
Filed under: plant metagenome
Description: partial contains small subunit ribosomal RNA, internal transcribed spacer 1, and 5.8S ribosomal RNA
Source: RNAcentral
GUAGGUGAACCUGCGGAAGGAUCAUUAACACGUGUCCCACGUAUAAAACCAAAACCGAGAACAUUGAACGUAUAUCCGGGAGGAGUCUAAGAUGGCGUCGGCAGUAAAGUCCAGAGCGACCUGCUUCGGUAGGUGUACCCUGGGUUCCGCACGUCUGGGCUCUAACCGUUAACCCAAAACCAUUAUUCAUUAUUAUUAUCGUCUUAAGAACUGUCGUGCUGACUGACGAGGCUUCGGCUUUGAAUGUCGG